UUUUCCGUAAAGUGAGAGCCGACAGAAAGCAAGCCGAAACCUGGCAGACUUUGGAUUACUGUAUCUAAAAGCAAACCGAUUCUUGAUCUAUAAAUACAUUUUGGAGGUUCUUGUGUCGAAUUCAAUCAUGGCUAGCUCUUCCUUGGUGGUCAGAACUUCUGUUCCAAAGGAAAUAAUGAGAGGGCAAAUUAGUGAAGUACUGAUUAGAAGUUGUAGCGGUCCUGUGGUGAGCAGAUGUGUGGCUCCUUGGUUGAUGCUACUGCCGGAGUUUAAGGAGGACAGCACCGUCUUCAAAUUCUACAGACUGGCAGAAGGGGAUGUCAUACAAGUACAACAUGAGCAGCAAGUGAUGAUGCCUGAUAUUGAUUCCGUUUGCUUGGGUUCAUUAUCCAAGGGAUGGCUUGUUUGUAUACAGCCUAAAGAUUGUCUUCUCUUCAUGUUUAACCCACUUUCUGGUAAGACUAUCCAGCUUCCAUCCAUUGAAACUUUCCCCUGUGUUAACGGCGUUAUUCGGAACAGUGUCAGAGUCGAAUGCUUUCUUAACCACCAAUCUAUUCCCUUAACCCCACAACGUAUGUCUUCAUACAUUGUCGAAAAGAUGAUCCUUUCAUCCCCUGAUCCUAUGGAAGAGGACUGCAUAGCGUUGGUCAUUUACGGGCCCCACCAGCGACUCGCAUUCUGCAGGAGGCCUGGCAUAGCUGAAGCCAAUUCGUGGACUGCACUCGACGGUCCCUUACGCGAGUACACUCAAAUUGUGUUCCACAGUGGAAAGAAACUAUUUUUUGCUCUCACCCAAGAUAAGGAGCUUGAAGCUUGGGAUCUCCACAAUGAUCCAACUAAGAGGUUUCUCAUCCAGAUUGAAGAUAUAGGCUGCAGUGAUGAUUGGCCCUCUUCUGCUGCGGAUGAUACUGAGCUAGAGUGCAAGUCAUGCUACUGUUGGGACACUGAUUACUUGGUAUAUGACCACCAAAGCCAGGAGCUUUUUGUUGUUACACGCUACAUAGCACAUGGCAUUGCCCAAGAUGGGACUCUGAUAUUGCCUGUGGAGAACGCUGAGCGCGAAUAUCCCUAUAAGACUCAAACUUUUGAUGUUUUCAAGCUUGAUUUUAUAGACCAUGAUCGUGUGGAGCUUCAAUACUUGCCAGGCAGCCUUGGCAAUCGUGCAUUCUUCAUUGGUUCCAAUCCCGGCUUUGCUCUCUCGACCACCAUGUUCCCGGAAUUGAGGCCCAAUUCUAUUUACUUUACAGAUGAUCUAACCUAUGCUUACAUAUUUAGGGAAGAGCCUAAUUGUGGAGGUCAUGAUUUGGGGAUUUAUGACUGUAAAGAAGGAAGCUUUUUAUCCUGUUACUACCCUGUCGAUGUAGACAAGAUACAAAGGAUUCUACCAGCUCCUAUUUGGUUCACCCCUGAUGUUGAUGCAACAUGCUUGGCCUCCACUUUAGGUCUCUCCCUUUAGUUUUAAACUUAUUGCGGAUCAUGUAUGCAGCACUGGUGUUGGCUUAUUAUUAGUAUUUUUUUCUUUUAAGUAAACUCUAGGUUUCUGUUUAUGUAGCUCCAACAUCUGUGCUAAUUAGCUGAUGUCCUAAGUAAUUUGAUGUCGAGCCAGUUACUUUUCCAGUCCAUCUUACUCUUAAUUGUUUAUCCUGCAUUGUCUAAGAAUCCUCCUGGCAAGGUUUAUGUGACUUAGGCACCUUGUUCUUAGCAUAGGUAGCACCUUGUUCAUAAUUCCAUGUGGUAUUCAAGUGUUGUAUUUUAUUUGUGACAAGCUAAUAGUGGAUAGAGAUCAAAAAAGCACUGGAGCUCUUUCAUUGUGCAGGUCAACAACGUGUUCUACUGUAUGAUGUACACAGAGAGCUAUAAAAGCACAUGCUGAAGUAGAGAGGACUUGUAGAUGAGCAUGGCUAGUUUCAUAGCCACACAACAUGCGCCUGCUAAAAGGAUUUAUGCACGCGUAUGAGUUGUUUCAAUGAUUGCUGUCCUUAUAUAUGAAUAUGAGCCUUCUCCAACUCUGUACUACUUAACCAAGUUUGGUGGCCUUUAUCGAGAAACUGAAAGGCUGUCUAGUCGCAUGAUGAAAGCUACAAGUGAGGGAUAUAUCUCGCUCAAGUAUCUACUUGUCGAUGAACUGUAUUUGAGGUUCUUAAUGUAGCCAUUCAAUCAAUGCAAAUGAAAUGUAAGUGCGCUUCUUACUUGGUA
Nicotiana tabacum (common tobacco) is the source of this 2196-nucleotide non-coding RNA. The record is from RefSeq and is a predicted model, not a curated record. Lineage: Eukaryota; Viridiplantae; Streptophyta; Magnoliopsida; Solanales; Solanaceae.